Molecule: RNA transcript, 2769 nt
Organism: Eriocheir sinensis (Chinese mitten crab)
Lineage: Eukaryota; Metazoa; Arthropoda; Malacostraca; Decapoda; Varunidae
Exons: 2
Source: RefSeq, a predicted model, not a curated record
CUGGGCGUGGAACAAUACGAUGCCCGUUUAUUUGUUUUACAUUUGUGGUGGUUUACUGAACUGAGGCAGACCGACGUUAUGUAUGCAGGUCUUCCUUUAAAAUUUGGCUCUCCUAAACGUAAUGGAGACAGACUGGAAUUACGUAUAUAUUACCUUUGAAAAAAUGGCUCUUUGAAAUUGGAUGGGGCGUUUGCAGGGUCCGGAUUAAUACAUGGAAAUAGACUGACAUUAUGUAUAUAUAUUGUAUUAGAAAAUGGCUACUUGACACUGGAUGCGACGUUAGCAGGGUCUGGAUUAAUACAUGAAAAUAGACAGACUGGCAUCAUGUAUAUCUUACCUUAAAAAAUAGCUCUUUGACACUUGAUGUGGCACUAACUAGGCGUGAAUAAAGCGUGCAGGCUGAAAUUUAAUACAUGUUGCCUUAAAUAACGGCUCCUUGAAUCUGGGUGCUGCGGUAACUAUAUAGGUAAGAGGUAAAGUUGGGGUCUACGCUAUAGCUGCGCGUGGCUUCAGUGCUCACUGGGGAAACCUGCGGAAGGUAAACUGUGGUAAACUGUUAACUAAGGACGCCACUAAAUGCUGUAAUACUCAAGGCCGGAGACAAACCGGCAUUGUGUGUGUACACUCUUAAAAGAAACACAACUCUCUCGAAUAUAAACCGGGGCCGCAAUCACCGUGUUCAUAAGUGGCACAUUUGAAUGGUUCACGGUCUCCCAACUUCUUCAAUAUUUAUUUUGAUUCUGAUUUUUUUCAAAGAAAUUGAUAAGAGAAACAGCAACACAUUAUCACUACUCUGUUGUCAUUUCCUUCAAUACAACAGCAGCGAUUCUUUCAAUUAAUUUUUCUGGUACCACCAAAAUGGUCCCAAUCGAGUCACAACUACAAACUUUCCUUCUCCUGAUCUUUUUAACAACCUUCGGUGGCGUCACAGCAGUUUCCCGUGAAGGUAGUUUUUCUUCUUUCUCUGUUACUACAACUUCAUUCGUUUUAUUGCCGGGCAGAAUCUCCUUUGUUAUCUCUGUUCGUUCUACUACCAGAGGUCCAUUGACAUUUUCUGUAACAUUUCUAGUCUCCACAGAUGUUUCCUUGAUGGUUUCAUGUGAAGGUAGUCUUUCUUCUUUCUCUGUCACUACAACUUCAUUCGUUUCAUUGCCGGGCAGAAUCUCCUUUGUUUUCUCUGUUCGUUCUACUAUCAGAGGUCCAUCGCCAUUUUCUGUAACAUUUCUACUCUUCACAGAUGUCAUCGUUAUGUUUUCCUGUGAAGGUAGUUUUUCUUCUUUCUCUGUUACUGAAAUUUCAUUCGUUUCAUUGCCGGGCAGAAUCUCCUUUGUUUUCUCUGUUCGGUCUACUAUCAGAGGUCCAUCGACAUUUUCUGUAACAUUUCUAGUCUCCACAGAUGUUUCCUUGAUGGUUUCAUGUGAAGGUAGUCUUUCUUCUUUCUCUGUUACUACAACCUCAUUCGUUUCAUUGCCGGGCAGAAUCUCCUUUGUUUUCUCUGUUCGUUCUACUACCAGAGGUCCAUCGACAUUUUCUGUAACAUUCCUAGUCUCCACAGAUGUUUCCUUGAUGGUUUCAUGUGAAGGGAGUUUUUCUUCUUUCUCUGUUACUAAUAUUUGAUUCGUUUUAUUGCCUGGCAGAAUCUCCUUUGUUAUCUCUGUUCGUUCUACUUUCUGAGGUUCGUCGCUCUUUCCUGAGGCACUAAAUGUAGUUUCUGUUUUGUUUUUACCUUGGUCAUCCGUCCCUACCUUCGGAAAAAGAAGAGUUGCGGCUUUAUCGUUCUUCGGCUUUUCUUCAGUGGCAUUGGUAAGAGGCUGUACUGUUGCUUCCUUCUUUUUAACAACUUUUUCGUUAAUUUCAUUACCCUCUUCGUCCGUGACCUUUUUCACGUCCACCGUCAGUGUUAGGGACCCGUUGUUUGGACUGGUUUCCGUCAGAGUUUCGCUCUCUGUGACAGAUUUUUCGCCACUUUCUUUACCUUCCUCAUCAAUAACAAUCUGUGUUUCCGUAAUCUUUGAUACAUUUCCGUUGGCCUUUACGUCAGUUUCUGUAGUCUUUUCAACGACUGUCUUGUUUCCGGUUACGUGCCCCGUUUCAUCUGUAUUAUUAAAGAUUUUCCUUGCCACGGUCUUGAUAGUGUCAUUACUGCCACUUCCCAAACUUGUCUGGAUGCUCUCUAGAUCAGACACGUUUCGUAAAUCUUUGAGUCCCGCCUCGUCAACUUUUCGGCAAGGGUCCUCAGCGGCUCUCUCCAGUGUAAUGGAGGCCGCCCCGUCGUCCGGGAACCCCGUGAAGCCCGCCCCGCCGACCAGCAGCAGGCUGCUACCACUCAGAUUCCCCAGCAACAAGAAGAUCGUCCACGCAACGAAGAGCAUCAUAAUUGUUGAUUGUGAGGUUAUGAAAUUAAAAAGAAUUACGGUUUUGUAAAAACCGCUUUCGUCAGCUCAGGGAUUGAAAACAGAAUGGCCUCCGGAACACCGACCGGCAGGGAGAAAAAUCCUCUGGGGUCUUCCUCCGCGCGCCGCAGGAUCUGUUUUGAUAGAAGAGGGAGAGUCGAACGAAAAGAAAGCACGCACACACACACACACACACGACGGCAAGGAAUUCUGAUGUCAAGUCUGGUGUGUGUGUGUGUGUGUGUGUGUGUGUGUGUUUUAAGGAGGAUGCGAAGCUCAGGGGUCCGUUAUAAGGAUGGCUAACGUCACUUCACUUGAAACUUCCCCCUUUCCCCCUCCCGCUUCAUCAUUGCAUAUCUCUCUCUCUCUCUCUCUC